Molecule: non-coding RNA, 1139 nt
Organism: Heterocephalus glaber (naked mole-rat)
Lineage: Eukaryota; Metazoa; Chordata; Mammalia; Rodentia; Bathyergidae
Source: RefSeq, a predicted model, not a curated record
CAGAAUCUCAACACAGCCAGAGGAACUGCUGGGGUCAAGAGUACAUAAAUGUUUGAGCUGCCAUCGAGCAGCCCAGCGUGGUGAUCCCGGCCCCCGGCCCCUCGCGGACCUCCUCCUACGUUGAGUACGCUCCAGCCAGCUGGACCUACGCCCAGUGACAUUAUUUCCUCUUGUGAAAAGUUUGGCCUUACAAAAAAGUUUGACCCAUGUCUUUGUAGUGUUUUUUGAACACAUUUGAAGAAGGUUUUCAAUGCAGACCUGUUCAUGAAAUCCACAAGCUCAGAAAACUCAUGUCCUCAAUAUGAGAGAAUCUAGGCUACAGAAAGAUCCAGAAGAGAGGAAGUGAAUAAGGAGCAGAAAGAAGAGAAAAGAGCCAGAGGAAGAGCCUGCAAGGCCAGCAGGGAGGAGCAACUCCCUCUGGUGGUCAUUCUGGGAAGCUGCGGGCGAGAUGUUCUGCUCCCAAGGACUCAAAGAAGCCAUCAUUCUGUUAUAAUUCUGUUGUAAUUUCUGUGGUCAGCCCAGCCAUAGCAGAAGCACUGAGGUACUGUAUUUGCUGCUAAUCUUCAUAGAAUUUUAUAACUGAAAAGCCAAAUCCAUUAAACCCUAACUUGUGUCUGGAAUCCACUUUUCCCUGGUUGUAUUCAUAGGAAUAGAGGGAAGGCUCUUGAAAUUUUACUAUGUAGUGCUCUCUUCAUGAUAAGGAUUUUUUGGCAGAUAUCCUGUGACAUAUUAGGGAAGUUCUAGUUUGCCAAGAGGUAUUAAAAAAUUGAUUAUUGAUUGUCAACUUCAACAAUGUCUUUUGAAAUAUGCCUACCUGAGAUUAUUUCAUUUUAAUCUGUUGUGUGUGGUAUUGUAUCUAUAGGUUUUCUGUUAUUAAGCCAGUAUUUCCUCUUGGUAUAACACUGCUGAAUAUUGAUAAUUAUAUUCAUGUAACACUCUAGAUUAUGUUUGCUGCUCUUUUAUUUAGGAUUUUUAUGUUCAUGAUUGACUUAUGGUUUUUCUUUCACAUAUUAUAUUAGUUGUUUUCACACAGCUAUUAUGUCAACUUCCUAGAGUGAGAUAGAAAUUCUUCCCCCUUUUCUGUCCUAUGGAAUAAUUUAUAUAACAAAGAUGCUCUAUUCCAUGAAAGUUUUGCGGGA